This 407-nucleotide ribosomal RNA is filed under the name uncultured Actinomycetes bacterium. RNAcentral describes it as "bacterial SSU rRNA". It matches the Rfam family "Bacterial small subunit ribosomal RNA", at positions 967 to 1375 of the family's 1533-position model. Lineage: Bacteria; Bacillati; Actinomycetota; Actinomycetes. The record is from RNAcentral.
AACCUUACCUGGGUUUGACAUACACCGGAAAGCCGUGGAGACAUGGCCUCCGCAAGGCCGGUGUACAGGUGGUGCAUGGCUGUCGUCAGCUCGUGUCGUGAGAUGUUGGGUUAAGUCCCGCAACGAGCGCAACCCUUGUCCCAUGUUGCCAGCGGGUGAUGCCGGGGACUCAUGGGAAACUGCCGGGGUCAACUCGGAGGAAGGUGGGGACGACGUCAAGUCAUCAUGCCCCUUAUGUCCAGGGCUUCACACACGCUACAAUGGCCGGUACAAAGGGCUGCUAAGCCGUGAGGUGGAGCGAAUCCCACAAAGCCGGUCUCAGUUCGGAUCGGGGUCUGCAACUCGACCCCGUGAAGUCGGAGUCGCUAGUAAUCGCAGAUCAGCAAUGCUGCGGUGAAUACGUUCCC